Molecule: ribosomal RNA, 989 nt
Filed under: Diorygma karnatakense
Lineage: Eukaryota; Fungi; Ascomycota; Lecanoromycetes; Ostropales; Graphidaceae
Description: partial large subunit ribosomal RNA
Rfam family: Eukaryotic large subunit ribosomal RNA
Source: RNAcentral
CCCGGGGGACCCGAAUUGUAAUUUGGGAGAAGGAGCUUCUGGGUGCGGCCACGGUCCAAGUCCUUUGGAAUUGGGCGUCAUAGAGGGUGAGAAUCCCGUACGCGGCCGAUGGUCUAUCCCGCACGAAGCCCUUUCGACGAGUCGAGUUGUUUGGGAAUGCAGCUCUAAAUGGGUGGUAAACUUCAUCUAAAGCUAAAUAUCGGCUGGAGACCGAUAGCGCACAAGUAGAGUGAUCGAAAGAUGAAAAGAACUUUGAAAAGAGAGUCAAACAGUACGUGAAAUUGUUGAAAGGGAAGCGCUUGCAACCAGACUCGCGCGCGGGGUUCAGCCGUUCUUCGGGGCGGUGUACUCCCCGCGCGCGGGCCAGCAUCAGUUCGGGCGGCCGGAUAAAGACCCGGGGAACGUAGCUCUCUUCGGGGAGUGUUAUAGCCUCGGGUGUCAUGCGGCCAGCCUGGACUGAGGAUCGCGCUCCGCUAGGAUGCUGGCGUAAUGGUUGCCAGCGACCCGUCUUGAAACACGGACCAAGGAGUCGACCAACUGGGCGAGUAUUUGGGCGUUAAACCCAGAUGCGUAAUGAAAGUGAACGAGGUGGGAGCCUCCGGGUGCACCAUCGACCGAUCUUGAUGUCUUCGGAUGGAUUUGAGUAUGAGCCCAGGUGGUCGGACCCGAAAGACGGUGAGCUAUGCGUGAAUAGGGUGAAGCCAGAGGAAACUCUGGUGGAGGCUCGCAGCGGUUCUGACGUGCAAAUCGAUCGUCAAAUUUGCGCAUAGGGGCGAAAGACUAAUCGAACCGUCUAGUAGCUGGUUCCUGCCGAAGUUUCCCUCAGGAUAGCAGCAACGGGAAUCAUAGUCUCAUGAGGUAGAGCAACGAUUAGAGGCCUGGGGGACGCAAUGUCCUUCACCUAUUCUCGAACUUCGAAUAUGUGAGAAGUCCUUGUUGUUUAAUUAAACGUGGACAUGUGGAUAUGUCGUUGCUAGUGGGCCAUUUUG